RNAcentral lists this ribosomal RNA (301 nucleotides) under uncultured bacterium. RNAcentral's name for it is "partial 16S ribosomal RNA". It matches the Rfam family "Bacterial small subunit ribosomal RNA", at positions 509 to 807 of the family's 1533-position model. The record is from RNAcentral.
CAGUAGCCACGGGAAUACGAAGGGGGCUAGCGUUGCUCGGAAUGACUGGGCGUAAAGGGCGCGUAGGCGGUUUUGACAGUCAGAUGUGAAAUUCCUGGGCUUAACCUGGGGGCUGCAUUUGAGACGUCAAGACUAGAGUGUGAGAGAGGGUUGUGGAAUUCCCAGUGUAGAGGUGAAAUUCGUAGAUAUUGGGAAGAACACCAGUGGCGAAGGCGGCUUACUGGCUCAUACUGGACGCUGAGGUGCGAAAGCGUGGGGAGCAAACAGGAUUAGAGACCCCAGUAGUCCCUGUCUCUUAUAC